GGGUGGUCCGAUGUUAGUGAGUUAUCUCACCUGAUUGUCCAUAGUCAGUUACAGAUUGAACUCCUUAUUCUACUCUUUCCCCCCUUCUCACUACUGCACUUGACUCGUCUUUU
This 113-nucleotide Y RNA is filed under the name Prolemur simus (greater bamboo lemur). RNAcentral's name for it is "Y RNA (ENSPSMG00000013470.1)". It matches the Rfam family "Y RNA". From Rfam's summary of the family: Y RNAs are components of the Ro ribonucleoprotein particle (Ro RNP), in association with Ro60 and La proteins. The Y RNAs and Ro60 and La proteins are well conserved, but the function of the Ro RNP is not known. The record is from Rfam by way of RNAcentral. Lineage: Eukaryota; Metazoa; Chordata; Mammalia; Primates; Lemuridae.